This is a non-coding RNA of Acomys russatus (golden spiny mouse), 75 nucleotides long. Lineage: Eukaryota; Metazoa; Chordata; Mammalia; Rodentia; Muridae. The record is from the annotation of a RefSeq genome assembly.
GAGAAUGUAGCUCAGUUGGUAGAGUGCUUGCCUAGCAUGCAUGAGGUCCUGGGUUCAACUCCCAGCAUUACAUCA